UUCGAAGUUAAUCUCUUCAUGAAAGUUGUAAAGCUUGUCAUUAUGAGCUUUUAAAUUUUUUUUUCUAUAUUAUUUAUACUUCUACAUUAAUUAAAAAACUAUUAUAGACUUUACUUAAAUAAUAGCCCUAAGUUAAAUAAGAGUAAAUAUGUAUUGUUGGAUUCCAUUUCACUUAUAUUAUUAGAACUAUUUUGGACGAAAAAACCCCUUAUCGAUGCCAAUAUUUACCAAUUUUACCAUUUGAUCAAUUUAGGUGAGCGAAAAUAUACUUAAAAGAAAAAUACGUUUUUAUGUUUUGGAUGUGACAAUAUGGUAUGUAUAUACUUAUUUAGUAUUAUGUUUUUCAUUUGAUUAUUUAUUGGUUUAAAAUAUAUUUUCCUUAACAGGUAAUGUGUCGGAUCAUAUUACCUGUUAAUAUUAUCAGGUCGAUCUCGGGUUGGGUUAUUUUACACGUUUAUUUUAACGGGUGUUACACGACAUGACCCGUUAAGAUAUCGGGUAUGACACGAAAACGACACAAACAGAGAAAACACAACACGAAUGUCAGGUCUAGACUCGUGGU
This 562-nucleotide long non-coding RNA is filed under the name Malus domestica (apple). Its description in RNAcentral is "long non-coding RNA (MDOM_LNC017667)". Lineage: Eukaryota; Viridiplantae; Streptophyta; Magnoliopsida; Rosales; Rosaceae. The record is from RNAcentral.